Molecule: microRNA, 22 nt
Filed under: Bos taurus (domestic cattle)
Lineage: Eukaryota; Metazoa; Chordata; Mammalia; Artiodactyla; Bovidae
Description: bta-miR-2285n
Source: miRBase by way of RNAcentral
AAAAACCCGAAUGAACUUUUGG